This 253-nucleotide ribosomal RNA is filed under the name uncultured bacterium. RNAcentral's name for it is "partial 16S ribosomal RNA". It matches the Rfam family "Bacterial small subunit ribosomal RNA", at positions 524 to 776 of the family's 1533-position model. The record is from RNAcentral.
UACGUAGGGUGCAAGCGUUAGUCGGAAUUACUGGGCGUAAAGCGUGCGCAGGCGGUUUUGUAAGUCUGUCGUGAAAGCCCCGGGCUCAACCUGGGAAUUGCGAUGGAGACUGCAAGGCUUGAAUCUGGCAGAGGGGGGUAGAAUUCCACGUGUAGCAGUGAAAUGCGUAGAGAUGUGGAGGAACACCGAUGGCGAAGGCAGCCCCCUGGGUCAAGAUUGACGCUCAUGCACGAAAGCGUGGGGAGCAAACAGG